Molecule: ribosomal RNA, 506 nt
Filed under: uncultured bacterium
Lineage: Bacteria
Description: partial 16S ribosomal RNA
Rfam family: Bacterial small subunit ribosomal RNA
Source: RNAcentral
AGUGAACGCUGGCGGUAGGCCUAACACAUGCAAGUCGAACGGCAGCACAGGAGAGCUUGCUCUCUGGGUGGCGAGUGGCGGACGGGUGAGGAAUACAUCGGAAUCUACUCUGUCGUGGGGGAUAACGUAGGGAAACUUACGCUAAUACCGCAUACGACCUACGGGUGAAAGCAGGGGAUCUUCAGACCUUGCGCGAUUGAAUGAGCCGAUGUCGGAUUAGCUAGCUGGCGGGGUAAAGGCCCACCAAGGCGACGAUCCGUAGCUGGUCUGAGAGGCUGAUCAGCCACACUGGAACUGAGAAACGGUCCAGACUCCUACGGGAGGCAGCAGUGGGGAAUAUUGGACAAUGGGCGCAAGCCUGAUCCAGCCAUACCGCGUGGGUGAAGAAGGCCUUCGGGUUGUAAAGCCCUUUUGUUGGGAAAGAAAUCCAGCUGGCUAAUACCCGGUUGGGAUGACGGUACCCAAAGAAUAAGCACCGGCUAACUUCGUGCCAGCAGCCGCGGUAA